RNAcentral lists this ribosomal RNA (653 nucleotides) under Vibrio sp. BTOK10. RNAcentral describes it as "bacterial SSU rRNA". It matches the Rfam family "Bacterial small subunit ribosomal RNA", at positions 100 to 749 of the family's 1533-position model. The record is from RNAcentral. Lineage: Bacteria; Pseudomonadati; Pseudomonadota; Gammaproteobacteria; Vibrionales; Vibrionaceae.
GGACGGGUGAGUAAUGCCUGGGAAAUUGCCCUGAUGUGGGGGAUAACCAUUGGAAACGAUGGCUAAUACCGCAUGAUAGCUUCGGCUCAAAGAGGGGGACCUUCGGGCCUCUCGCGUCAGGAUAUGCCCAGGUGGGAUUAGCUAGUUGGUGAGGUAAGGGCUCACCAAGGCGACGAUCCCUAGCUGGUCUGAGAGGAUGAUCAGCCACACUGGAACUGAGACACGGUCCAGACUCCUACGGGAGGCAGCAGUGGGGAAUAUUGCACAAUGGGCGCAAGCCUGAUGCAGCCAUGCCGCGUGUAUGAAGAAGGCCUUCGGGUUGUAAAGUACUUUCAGCAGUGAGGAAGGAGGUAUCGUUAAUAGCGGUAUCUUUUGACGUUAGCUGCAGAAGAAGCACCGGCUAACUCCGUGCCAGCAGCCGCGGUAAUACGGAGGGUGCGAGCGUUAAUCGGAAUUACUGGGCGUAAAGCGCAUGCAGGUGGUUUGUUAAGUCAGAUGUGAAAGCCCGGGGCUCAACCUCGGAAUUGCAUUUGAAACUGGCAGGCUAGAGUACUGUAGAGGGGGGUAGAAUUUCAGGUGUAGCGGUGAAAUGCGUAGAGAUCUGAAGGAAUACCGGUGGCGAAGGCGGCCCCCUGGACAGAUACUGACACUCA